CGGUGAAAGUAAGUAGAUAUAUGGAAGAACACCAGUGGCGAAGGACGGCGGUCUUGUGUGUAACUGACGCUGAGGCUCGAAAGCACGGGUAGCGAACACGAUUAGAUACCCCCGUAGUCCACCCCGUAAACGAUGAGUGCUAUGUGUUGGAGGGUGUCCGCCCUCCAGUGCCGCAGCUAACGCACUAAGCACUCCGCCUGGGGAGUACGACCGCAAGGGUUGAAACUCAAAGGAAUUGACGGGGGCCCGCACAAGCGGUGGAGCAUGUGGUUUAAUUUUAAGCAACGCGAAGAACAUCCCCACCUCUUGACAUCUUUUGAUCCCAUGAGAGAUCAGGUUUUCCCCUUCGGGGGCAAAAUGACAGGUGGUGCAUGGUGGUCGUCAGCUCGUGUCGUGAGUGUUGGGUUAAGUCCCGCAACGAGCGCAACCCUUAUGACUAGUUGCCAGCAUUUAGUUGGGCGCUCUUGUAAGACUCCCGCCGACAACCCGCAGGAAGAUGGGGAGGACGUCAAAUCAUCAUGCCCCCUAUGACCUGGGCUACACACGUGCUACAAUGGAUGGUACAACGAGUUGCGAGACCGCGAGGUCAAGCUAAUCUCUUAAAGCCAUUUUCAGUUCGGACUGUAGGCUGCAACUCUCCUCCACGAAGUAGGAAUCGCUAGUAAUCCGCAGGACUCAGCACGCCGCGGUGAAUACGGUUCCCGGGCCUCGUACACACCGCCCGUCACACCACGAGAGUUUGUAACACCCGAAGCCGCCUGCGCUCGCUUUU
Molecule: ribosomal RNA, 772 nt
Filed under: Lacticaseibacillus rhamnosus
Lineage: Bacteria; Bacillati; Bacillota; Bacilli; Lactobacillales; Lactobacillaceae
Description: bacterial SSU rRNA
Rfam family: Bacterial small subunit ribosomal RNA
Source: RNAcentral